CAUGGCUUGAACAACAACAUUUUCAUCAUUCACACAAUGCAAUCAAAUUUCAUGGGUUUAACAUCUACCUUUUCAUCAUUCACACCAUUCAAUCAAAUUUCACGGGUUUAUCAUUAACAUUUUCAUCAUUCACACAAUUCAAUCAAAUUCCAUGGGUUUAACAACAACAUUUUCAUCAUUCACACAAUUCAAUCAAAUUUCAUAGGUUUAACAACAACAUUUUCAUCAUUUACACAAUUCAAUCAAAUUUCAUGGGUUUAACAACAACAUUUUCAUCAUUCACACAAUUCAAUCAAAUUCCAUGGGUUUAACAAUAACAUUUUCAUCAUUCACACAAUUCAAUCAAAUUCCAUGGGUUUAACAAUGACAUUUUCAUCAUUCACACAAUUCAAUCAAAUUCCAUGGGUUUAACAAUAACAUUUUCAUCAUUCACAUAAUUCAAUCAAAUUUCAUGGGUUUAACAACAACAUUUUCAUCAUU
RNAcentral lists this long non-coding RNA (480 nucleotides) under Lathyrus oleraceus (garden pea). RNAcentral describes it as "Pisum sativum (pea) long non-coding RNA (PSAT_LNC039646)". The record is from RNAcentral. Lineage: Eukaryota; Viridiplantae; Streptophyta; Magnoliopsida; Fabales; Fabaceae.